CAUGACUUUGACAAAUAUUGCCUCUUGAAGAUGCCACUUCCUCUGCAGCUUUGGCCAUGUCCACUGACAUCUGGCUAUCACAGCCUUACCUGACCCCCUUGCAAUGCCCAGUUCCCUAAAACAGAAGGGGAUCCCAGCGCACCAUGGUAUGGUUCUGAUCUCUGCUCCCUUCUAGAUUGGGAUCGUGACAUGGAAUAUCUGGAAAUGCUGGUAAAUGGUGGUUUGAACACCUUGACAGAGGCUGGAGGCAAGUUCUCAAUGUCCCUUUCUGCACAGUAUAAUCAGUGUCAGUGUGGCAAGAGCUCACUCAUGUGCCAUUUCCCUUAAGAGUCUGAAGGUUGAUGGAUUGUGGAAACCUUGCCCUGCUCCCUUCUGGAGCUCUGAGUGAUCCCACAGCAUCAGUGGGAGGAAGGAUAAUUUAGAUGUCAAUUCUCUUCCCAUGUUCAAUGCCAGUGUCUCUUUCCAUGUGCUCUGUGCAGCCAUGGAGAAGAACAGAGAGGGAAGGAGCCAGGCCCAGGGCUGUGUCCUGGGGCUGUGCCUUAUGCAGCUCCUUUGCCAACCUCAGGGAGCCUGAGCUGCUCUCGCUGCCACUGCCAAGCCCUGGCCUUGCCUGGGGCUCAGUUCAGAGCUGCUGGCAGCACAAGGGUGUCCUUUCUCCCCUGACUGCCAUGCAAGGGGCUCCUUCCAUCCCAGUGUGGGGCCACUGCAGGCACGUGGUCCCCCUGCCCCUGCUCCUGAAUGGAAGGCAGAGAUGAGGGAGUGCCUUGGAGGACAGCAGUCAUCCAGGUGCACUCACUGCCACUCCAGACCGAAGGAGAAUUCUCAGCACAGUCACGGGAGCUAUUCUAUCCUACCUUUCUUUGCAGAUCAACUUGAUGAUGAUGAUGAUGAUGAUCUGGAUUUCCAACCCAUAUCAGUUGCUGAGCCUGGUGAUGAGGAGGCUGAUGAGGGUAGGUCAAGGCCUUUCCCCCAGGGAGAGUGGCCAGCUCAGAGCCCAGAGCUCGGUCAGGGCGGCAUCGCUGCAGGUGCCAGGACAGAGUUCUGCACGUGUGUGCCCUCGGCCUGAGCGAUCCCCUCACCUCUCCUGCAGCUCAGUGCUGCCUGUGCACAUCAGCAGAGAUGACAGAAGCUUCUGUGGCUGUUCAGUUACAGGUGUGUCUGCAGGGAGGACUUUCCCAGCUCCUGGGAUGGUUACUGCACAAAAGCCCAGGUCCCAUCGGAGGGAUUCAGCCGGCACCACAACUCAUGCUCAGAAUAUCUGGGAAAGCAUGAGAAGAAUUUUCAGCCCAGGAACACAUGGUUUGAUUAAGCUAAUGGCCAUUUUGGUUGCUGGAGCCCUUUUCCUGAUGAUGUGCUGUGCUGGAAUCUGGUAUUGCUGGAACAGAAAACGGUGAGUGUUUUGCUGAUCUCUACCUCAAACCAAUUCUUGAAAGGCUGCUCAUAGUAAACAUUCCCAGUGAGGCUGCUGUGGAGCUGUGGAUAGUCCUUAGUUGCCCAAAUAAUUCUGCUGAGAGUUCUGCUGCUGCCCAGGCCUUUCAUUGGCCUCUUAAAUGCUGGGCCUUGUCCUGGGGAGCCCGCUUGUGCUGCAUCCAGUGCUGGCUGCCACGGAGGCUGCCUGGCCAAGAGCAGCCCCAGGAGCAGCAGGCAGAGGCAAUGCAUGGUGGGCAGGAGAAAGAGCAGGGAAGAGAUUGCCCUUGAAAGGCAGAGGCGCUCUGGGGCCUGCUCCUGGCCAGGGACCCUGCCCAGAACCAUCCCCUGCUCGCCGGGGCCUUGAGGGGCAGCUGUCCAGCUGGGCCAAGCUGUGUCAGCAGCUCCAGCCGUGCUGGGGAGCCUUGGCCGCUCUGGGCCCUGCUGUGCAGGAGGGGCCCUGUGUGCCAGUGGCAGCUGGGAGCCUCAGCCACCUCCUCUCUCCACAGGAGCACAUCUGCACCUUCAGAAGACCUAUGAAAGACUUUAGUCAAUGAGAAGUUGACCUGUCUUUCUCACUCUUUACCUCUGACCCCAUCUGCUGUUGUCCUGGUGCAGCCCUGUCUUGAGGGCAUCCCAACACCCACACCUCCAAAGCCAUACCCUCUCACCCUGAGCCCCCUGUCCCUGCACCCUGGCCAGGACUGAAGGUGGGCAGCCCCUGUCCACCAGAGCAGGCCUUGGCCCAUGUUUUAUUUUCAAAUAAAGAAAUGAAACUGUCACCCCA
Long non-coding RNA from Parus major (Great Tit), 2194 nucleotides. The record is from Ensembl. NCBI's taxonomy places the organism in Eukaryota, Metazoa, Chordata, Aves, Passeriformes, Paridae.